CAGUGCCGCGGGAAUACAGAGGGUGCGAGCGUUAAUCGGAUUUACUGGGCGUAAAGCGUGCGUAGGCGGCUUCUUAAGUCGGAUGUGAAAUCCCUGAGCUUAACUUAGGAAUUGCAUUCGAUACUGGGAAGCUAGAGUAUGGGAGAGGAUGGUAGAAUUCCAGGUGUAGCGGUGAAAUGCGUAGAGAUCUGGAGGAAUACCGAUGGCGAAGGCAGCCAUCUGGCCUAAUACUGACGCUGAGGUACGAAAGCAUGGGGAGCAAACAGGAUUAGAUACCCCAGUAGUCCCUGUCUCUUAUACA
Molecule: ribosomal RNA, 301 nt
Filed under: uncultured bacterium
Lineage: Bacteria
Description: partial 16S ribosomal RNA
Rfam family: Bacterial small subunit ribosomal RNA
Source: RNAcentral